UGGGGAAUUUUGGACAAUGGGGGAAACCCUGAUCCAGCCAUCCCGCGUGUGCGAUGAAGGCCUUCGGGUUGUAAAGCACUUUUGGCAGGAAAGAAACGUCGCGGGUUAAUACCCCGCGAAACUGACGGUACCUGCAGAAUAAGCACCGGCUAACUACGUGCCAGCAGCCGCGGUAAUACGUAGGGUGCAAGCGUUAAUCGGAAUUACUGGGCGUAAAGCGUGCGCAGGCGGUUCGGAAAGAAAGAUGUGAAAUCCCAGAGCUUAACUUUGGAACUGCAUUUUUAACUACCGGGCUAGAGUGUGUCAGAGGGAGGUGGAAUUCCGCGUGUAGCAGUGAAAUGCGUAGAUAUGCGGAGGAACACCGAUGGCGAAGGCAGCCUCCUGGGAUAACACUGACGCUCAUGCACGAAAGCGUGGGGAGCAAACAGGAUUAGAUACCCUGGUAGUCCACGCCCUAAACGAUGUCAACUAGCUGUUGGGGGCCUUUCGGGCCUUGGUAGCGCAGCUAACGCGUGAAGUUGACCGCCUGGGGAGUACGGUCGCAAGAUUAAAACUCAAAUGAAUUGACGGGGUCAUAGCUG
This 581-nucleotide ribosomal RNA is filed under the name uncultured bacterium. RNAcentral describes it as "partial 16S ribosomal RNA". It matches the Rfam family "Bacterial small subunit ribosomal RNA", at positions 355 to 932 of the family's 1533-position model. The record is from RNAcentral.